CGGGGACAACUCGGAGGAAGGUGGGGACGACGUCAAAUCAUCAUGCCCCUUAUGACCUGGGCUACACACGUGCUACAAUGGUAGGUACAGAGUGAGGCUAAGCCGCGAGGUGGAGCAAAACGCAUAAAACCUAUCGUAGUUCGGAUCGGAGUCUGAAACCCGACUCCGUGAAGUUGGAAUCGCUAGUAAUCGCACAUCAGCACGGUGCGGUGAAUACGUUCCCGGGCCUUGUACACACCGCCCGUCACACCAUCCGAGUGGGGGGUACCCGAAGUCGCGAGUCUAACCGCAAGGGGGACCGUGCCGAAGGUACGCUUCGUGAGGGGGGUGAAGUCGUAACAAGGUAGUCGUACCGGAAGGUGCGGCUGGAUCACCUCCUU
This 380-nucleotide ribosomal RNA is filed under the name uncultured bacterium. RNAcentral's name for it is "bacterial SSU rRNA". It matches the Rfam family "Bacterial small subunit ribosomal RNA", at positions 1153 to 1532 of the family's 1533-position model. The record is from RNAcentral.